UACCAGCACCCCGAGUGGUCGGGACGUUUAUUGGGCCUAAAGCAUCCGUAGCCGGUUCUACAAGUCUUCCGUUAAAUCCACCUGCCCAACAGAUGGGCUGCGGAAGAUACUAUGGAGCUAGGAGGCGGGAGAGGCAAGCGGUACUCGAUGGGUAGGGGUAAAAUCCGUUGAUCCAUUGAAGACCACCAGUGGCGAAGGCGGCUUGCCAGAACGCGCUCGACGGUGAGGGAUGAAAGCUGGGGGAGCAAACCGG
This 253-nucleotide ribosomal RNA is filed under the name uncultured bacterium. RNAcentral's name for it is "partial 16S ribosomal RNA". It matches the Rfam family "Archaeal small subunit ribosomal RNA", at positions 474 to 727 of the family's 1478-position model. The record is from RNAcentral.